RNAcentral lists this transfer RNA (84 nucleotides) under Chlamydiota bacterium. RNAcentral's name for it is "Chlamydiae bacterium tRNA-Leu". It matches the Rfam family "tRNA". From Rfam's summary of the family: Transfer RNA (tRNA) molecules are approximately 80 nucleotides in length. Their secondary structure includes four short double-helical elements and three loops (D, anti-codon, and T loops). Further hydrogen bonds mediate the characteristic L-shaped molecular structure. tRNAs have two regions of fundamental functional importance: the anti-codon, which is responsible for specific mRNA codon recognition, and the 3' end, to which the tRNAs corresponding amino acid is attached (by aminoacyl-tRNA synthetases). tRNAs cope with the degeneracy of the genetic code in two manners: having more than one tRNA (with a specific anti-codon) for a particular amino acid; and 'wobble' base-pairing, i.e. permitting non-standard base-pairing at the 3rd anti-codon position. Lineage: Bacteria; Pseudomonadati; Chlamydiota. The record is from RNAcentral. RNAcentral also lists the same sequence under 1 other name.
GCUUGGAUGGCGGAAUUGGUAGACGCUGGGGACUUAAAAUCCCUUGGUAGAAAUACCGUGGGGGUUCGAGUCCCCCUCCGAGCA